AGAGCCCAGCGUGCGCGGCCUUGCGUGCGUGCACACGCAUAUGUAUCCAGGUGCCUACGCAGGUGCCUGACCCUGGGCAAGUCGCUCCGUCAUGCGGACCUCAGUUUUCUCAUCUGUCCGACGAAGCAUGAUUUUCUGGUCAGACUGCAUCAGCUCCUUCUUCUCCACCAGGACAGUAGGGAUCUACAGCCCAAGAACCAAAGACUUUGGACAUUUUGCUCUACUUGGGAAGUUUGUAAUGUUAUCUUCUGCUGUGGAGCAUAGUGCUAAGAAAUAGGGGGAAGAAAGGUGGGUUUCUUCUGUCUCCACCCCAAAGACCAAGGAUACUUUCUUCCCUGAGGGUUGCCUCUGCAUUGCAAGUUUUUUCUGACCCUUCACUACACAGAUGGACAACUCAGGUGGCCAGAGGACUUCAACUGAAUGGAAUUAUACAAUGAUUUGUUGAACAUGUAUUGUGCACCAGGGAGUAUGUGAGGCUAUGUGGUAGGCAUGAGAUGAACAAUGGAAGAUUCUUGCCCCAUGGAAGGUGACCACUGGAAUUAGAAAUCCUAGCAUCACCUAAGGAAAGGCUCAGAUCUUCCCUGGUGGAGGUUGGGGAUCUUCCCGAAGGGACCUUUUGGACCCAGAGCUCUUGUAUCAUUGCCUCUUGGCAAGAGGUUUAGAGACUCCCUUCAUCAUGAAGUUUCACAGACUCCUUCAGCCUUUAUCUUUCCUGAGUUCUGUGGGGAAAAGCUAGGUUAGAUAUGUGGAGUGACUCACCGAGACCUGAGAAGGCAUCUGCAUGAGGCUGCAGGAGUGUCCUUAGAGAAAAGGGAAGCUGCAGUGUGGAGGCUGGGGGAUGCACAAGAUGAUCUCCAGAGUCUCUCAGCCUUCAGAAGUGCAGGCCCUCUGAGGCCACAUUCCUUCCUGGUCUGGCUCAGUGGAGGCUGUGUUUCCCCACUGUUGCUUUUUGCAUGGAUUUGUUCAGCAGUUGAAUGGGCAGAGAAGGAGGAGUCUCUCCCUUCCUGUUCUCACACAGCUCUGCUUCAUGGACACCCACCCAGAUUCACUGGAGAGCAAAGCCUACCAGAGUCCCUGUCAGCAGCACUGUUUCUAGAAGCUUCCACAUGAGCGGACAGCAUGGAGUCCUGGGGGCUAAUGAAGCAGCAACGUCAGCAUGAGCACAGGCAGGGAGAGGCAAGAGGAGCAGAGUAAAGGGGAACGUUCUCUUCAUUCUUCCACCUGCCUGUCCCCCAGCCGACACGUCCCUUCCGUUCCCUGCAAGGCCAUUUCCAGGGAGGCUUACGAAGACAGCAGAUGAUGGUGAUGGAAGGAGUCUGGGUGCUGAGCUGUGCCAUGGACCUGGAGAGAAACUGAGUCCGAGGGAUGUCAACAUGUCAAGUCCAUGAAAUAUUAGUGGGCUGGAAUUCUAGCUGCCUGAAAGAAGACAUUCCUCACAAAAGACCUCACAAUCAUAUCCGUGGAACUAUAGCACUGGGCUCUCCAGAUGGUGCUACAGGAAGACCUCCAGAAAUUUGACAAUCCUCUAUUCAAGGCCCUACCACAGAGACACACAGGAAUGGAACUCAGAAUCACAAACAAACAAACUUUGAUCCAAGAAAGAAAAUGAUCUUUAAAAAGACCCUCGUUUCAUGCUGGCCAAUGCUGAGAAAAUCUGCUCUGGAGGAUAUUUGGAGACACUGAUUAAAAGAUGGUUGUCCCAGUGGAGGGGGAUUCUUCGUGUUACGUAGAUAGCAAGCACGAUGCAAAAGUGUUGAAGCAGGAGUGUAAAGAAUAAUUAAAACACCUGCCCAAGACCCAAGCAAGGAUAGGAUUUCCCAGACAUUCCCGAGGGAGAAAAUGCCAUGUCCUUUCCUUCUGGUGUCACAUCAGAAUCUGAAGGCUGCUAGAGAAGAGAGAGAAACAUGAAAGUGAGUCCCAUGCUGAUUGUUGUUGAAAUACCUGGAAAGAAACUGGCAAAGACUAUCCAAGGGAUGCUAAGACAUGUCCGAACUUACAAAACAGUAGAACCUGAAUAGGAAUUUGAAGUUGUCUAUACUCAGCCACACCCUGCCAUUUUACAGACUGUCUUCUCUGGGGAAGUUAGCUGUCAUGUUGUGAGGAUACUCAAGCAGUUUAUAAAGAGGUUCAUGUCACAAGGAAUGGAGGCCUCCUGCCAACAGCCAUGUAAAGGAGCCAUCUAGGAAACAGAUUCUCCAGCCCCAGUCAGACCUUCAGAUGAUUACAGCCCCUACCAACCUUCUGACUGCGGUGGAAGGAAAGUUCCGGAACCAGAACCACCCAGGUUAAUGUGGGUAAGUCUCAUCCAAUCCUUUGAAGGCCUGAAGAACAAAGAGUGAGGUUUCUGGAAGAAGAAAAUUUUACCUCAAGCCUGCAAUGUAGAAAUUCUGCUUGAGUUUCCUGCCUGCUGGCCUGCCCUGUGGAAUUCGGAGUCAAGAAGGAGUCUUGUAAGCAUUAACUGAGAUAGUAUAUGAAGAGUGCUUUUGCACCGAGUGAACCUUCAAUCAACUGUACUAGUUUGUAUGCCUGGAAGAGCUGCUAUAUGGGAUCAGAAAGAAAAAUAAGGUGCAUACCCC
RNAcentral lists this small RNA (2576 nucleotides) under Pan troglodytes (chimpanzee). RNAcentral describes it as "processed transcript". Lineage: Eukaryota; Metazoa; Chordata; Mammalia; Primates; Hominidae. The record is from RNAcentral.